RNAcentral lists this long non-coding RNA (535 nucleotides) under Marmota monax (woodchuck). The record is from RNAcentral. Lineage: Eukaryota; Metazoa; Chordata; Mammalia; Rodentia; Sciuridae.
AGUCACCUUCUCCCCUUGGCCUGAUUCCUAACUUUCCCUGGCAAAAAACGGAAUGCUGCUUCAAGAUCUGGAUGGAGUGACCUUAUAAGGAUAAAGUCAGUCUUCCUUGAGUGAUCCAAAGGCAGUGUGCGUCCCUCUAACUGGUCCUCACAUCAGCACUCAGGUAUUAUUCUCCCUUUGUUAUGAGUAGAAACUGAGACUGAAGGUCAUGCAGCUAACAUAUAGAUGUAUAGAAUUUUCAAUCCAGUUAUAGUCUGUUGGCAACAGGUCCACCUUGGCCCCUGGAGCCCUACCUCCACUAGUUUGUUCUGCAUGCCAGUGUGGCCAGCUCACAAGGCCAUGGCGAACUUGCGGUUUUUUUGUUCCUGCUUGUCCGUCUGAGACAUAUGUAUCCCACGGGAAUGCCUUGACCUUUUCUGGUCUGAUGGACUUAUUGUUAAGGGAGGUUUCAGUACCUGACAAUAAUAGAUGUUGAAACUAAAUUUCUCCCCCCUCCCUCCUGCUUUUGGGUAGUUUUCCACUUCUGCUGCUUGGG